Long non-coding RNA from Etheostoma cragini (Arkansas darter), 459 nucleotides. RefSeq lists it as uncharacterized. The record is from RefSeq and is a predicted model, not a curated record. NCBI's taxonomy places the organism in Eukaryota, Metazoa, Chordata, Actinopteri, Perciformes, Percidae. The transcript is spliced from 4 exons.
AGGUGGUUGGGGGUGUAAGACAGAGUCAUAUCUGCACUUCCAUCCAGGACCCUUGUGAGUUAGUGGAUGACAUGUGCCAACACAUCAAAUAUAAAUCAGGUGGUAAAAUGGUGUGUUGGGAUUGCCCCAUUGCAUUUCCUGUCUUCAUGCAGCCCCUUUACAGUGCCCCAGUGUGCCUGGCCACUUGAUCACACCAGGAACAGACACACUUGGCAAACAUACUGCAAGCUGCAAUACAACAUCAGAGCUCUGCACUCUGGUGGGAGGAUUCACCAGAAUCUAGGGCCUUCCUAGAUUCUGUUUCUUCCUUGAAGAAGAUCAGAGGAAACUGUCAAACAGAGGUUUACCCAGUGGGCGAUUGCGAGGACGUUUUGGUCAGCAUGGUUAUGGAAGAAGUAAUGUCCUAUCUCAUUUCCCAGGAUUAUUGCAUAUCACAGCAGGAAGAGGACAGCCUGGAGC